CCUACGGGUGGCAGCAGGGAGGAAUAGUGGGCAAGGGGCGCGAGCCUGAACCAGCCAAGGCGCGUGAGGGAAGACGGUCCUAUGGAUUGUAAACCUCUUUUGUCGGGGAGCAAAAGACGCCACGCGUGGCGUUCCGAGAGUACCCGAAGAAAAAGCAUCGGCUAACUCCGUGCCAGCAGCCGCGGUAAUACGGAGGAUGCGAGCGUUAUCCGGAUGUAUUGGGUUAAAAGGGUGCGCAGGCGGAAGAUCAAGUCAGCGGUAAAAUUGAGAGGCUCAACCUCUUCGGGCCGUUGAAACCGGUUUUCUUGAGUGGGUGAGAGGUAUGCGGAAUGCGUGGUGUAGCGGUGAAAUGCAGAGAUAUCACGCAGAACUCCGAUUGCGAAGGCAGCAUACCGGCGCUCAACUGACGCUCAUGCACGAAAGUGUGGGUAUCGAACAGGAUUAGAUACCCGAGUAGUC
This 459-nucleotide ribosomal RNA is filed under the name uncultured bacterium. RNAcentral's name for it is "partial 16S ribosomal RNA". It matches the Rfam family "Bacterial small subunit ribosomal RNA", at positions 338 to 795 of the family's 1533-position model. The record is from RNAcentral.